UCGAGCGGACAGAUGGGAGCUUGCUCCCUGAUGUUAGCGGCGGACGGGUGAGUUACACGUGGGUAACCUGCCUGUAAGACUGGGAUAACUCCGGGAAACCGGGGCUAAUACCGGAUGCUUGAUUGAACCGCAUGGUUCAAUUAUAAAAGGUGGCUUCUGCUUCCCCUUUCAGAUGGACCCCCCGCCCCUUAACUAAUUGGUGGGGUAAUGGCUCCCCAAGGGGACGAUGCGUUACCCAACUGAAAAGGUGAUCGGCCACCCUGGGAAUGAAACACCGCCCCAACUCCUACGGGAGGCAGCAGUAGGGAAUCUUCCCCAAUGGACGAAAAUUUGACGGAACAACGCCCCGUGAAUGAUGAAGGUUUUUCGAUCCUAAAACUCUGUUGUUAGGGAAAAACAAAUGCCCUACUAAAUGGGCGGGACUUUGCAGGGUCCAUACCAAAAACCCCGGGGUAAUUUCUGUCCACCCACCCGGGGAAAUCUAUGGGGGGAAAGUUUUCCCGGAAUUUUUGGGGCAAAAGGCUCGCCAGGGGGUUUUUUUAUCUUAUAUGAAAAACCCCCGGGCUCACCGGGAGGGGGUCUUUGAAAUCGGGGAAUUUUGUGUCCAAAAAAGAAAAGGGAAUUCCCAUGUGUCCGGGAAAAGUGCAAA
This 649-nucleotide ribosomal RNA is filed under the name uncultured bacterium. RNAcentral's name for it is "partial 16S ribosomal RNA". It matches the Rfam family "Bacterial small subunit ribosomal RNA", at positions 62 to 694 of the family's 1533-position model. The record is from RNAcentral.